GCGGAUGUAGCUCAGCGGCAGAGCGCCGUCCCACCCGGAUGGAGACGAUGGUUCGAACCCAUCCGUCCGCUCCA
RNAcentral lists this transfer RNA (74 nucleotides) under Xanthobacteraceae bacterium. Its description in RNAcentral is "tRNA-OTHER". It matches the Rfam family "tRNA". Rfam says of the family: Transfer RNA (tRNA) molecules are approximately 80 nucleotides in length. Their secondary structure includes four short double-helical elements and three loops (D, anti-codon, and T loops). RNAcentral also lists the same sequence under 1 other name. Lineage: Bacteria; Pseudomonadati; Pseudomonadota; Alphaproteobacteria; Hyphomicrobiales; Xanthobacteraceae. The record is from RNAcentral.